UACGGAGGGUGCAAGCGUUGUCCGGAUUUAUUGGGUUUAAAGGGUGCGUAGGUGGCUUAUUAAGUCAGUGUUUAAAGUCUGCAGCUUAACUGUAGGUAUGGCAUUGAUACUGAUAGGCUUGAGUAAAGUUGAGGUAGGCGGAAUUGAAGGUGUAGCGGUGAAAAUGCAUAGAUAUCUUCAAGAACACCCGAUUGCGAAGGCAGCUUACUAAGCUUUAACUGACACUGAGGCACGAAAAGCGUGGGGGAUCAAAACAGG
RNAcentral lists this ribosomal RNA (258 nucleotides) under uncultured bacterium. Its description in RNAcentral is "partial 16S ribosomal RNA". It matches the Rfam family "Bacterial small subunit ribosomal RNA", at positions 524 to 776 of the family's 1533-position model. The record is from RNAcentral.